CCUACGGGAUGCUGCAGUGAGGAAUAUUGGUCAAUGGGCGCGAGCCUGAACCAGCCAAGUCGCGUGAGGGAAGACGGUCCUAUGGAUUGUAAACCUCUUUUGUCGGGGAGCAAAAGACGCCACGCGUGGCGGUCCGAGAGUACCCGAAGAAAAAGCAUCGGCUAACUCCGUGCCAGCAGCCGCGGUCCUACGGAGGAGGCGAGCGUUAUCCGGAUUUAUUGGGUUAAAAGGGUGCGCAGGCGGAAGAUCAAGUCAGCGGUAAAAUUGAGAGGCUCAACCUCUUCGAGCCGUUGAAACUGGUUUUCUUGAGUGAGCGAGAAGUAUGCGGAAUGCGUGGUGUAGCGGUGAAAUGCAUAGAUAUCACGCAGAACUCCGAUUGCGAAGGCAGCAUACCGGCGCUCAACUGACGCUCAUGCACGAAAGUGUGGGUAUCGAACAGGAUUAGAUACCCCAGUAGUC
This 459-nucleotide ribosomal RNA is filed under the name uncultured bacterium. RNAcentral's name for it is "partial 16S ribosomal RNA". It matches the Rfam family "Bacterial small subunit ribosomal RNA", at positions 338 to 795 of the family's 1533-position model. The record is from RNAcentral.